AAGUCGUAACAAGGUUUCCGUAGGUGAACCUGCGGAAGGAUCAUUAAUGGAAUAAACCUGGUGGACUGUCGCUGGCUCUCUUGAGAGCAUGUGCACGUCUGUCAUCUUUAUCUUUCCACCUGUGCACCUUUUGUAGACCUGGAUAUGCUUAAUAUAUCAAUCUGAGGUCAACUCAGGCGUGAGGACUGUCGGCGUCGCAAGAUAUCGGCUUUCCUUGUAGCAUUCCAGGGACUAUGUUUUUCAUACACACUUUAAAAAUCUAAUAGAAUGUCGUUUUAAAAAGGUCUUUGUACCUAUAUAAAACAAAUAUACAACUUUCAGCAACGGAUCUCUUGGCUCUC
RNAcentral lists this unclassified non-coding RNA (341 nucleotides) under Crepidotus crocophyllus. Its description in RNAcentral is "partial internal transcribed spacer region". The stretch from base 1 to 46 matches the Rfam family "Eukaryotic small subunit ribosomal RNA", at positions 1786 to 1831 of the family's 1831-position model. Lineage: Eukaryota; Fungi; Basidiomycota; Agaricomycetes; Agaricales; Crepidotaceae. The record is from RNAcentral.